Molecule: long non-coding RNA, 648 nt
Filed under: Chrysemys picta bellii (western painted turtle)
Lineage: Eukaryota; Metazoa; Chordata; Testudines; Emydidae
Description: lncRNA (ENSCPBG00000008110.1)
Source: RNAcentral
AUGACAGAAGAGCUAUUAAUAAUAGUCCAAGCAUUGGGUGUGAAAAUACCUAGACUUCCUAGAACCACAGCUGAGAAUCAGAGUGGUGGUCAAUUUUACCAUUACUGGCAGCUCUCACUCUCAAGAACACAAAGCUAUGGGAUUUCAGACUCAAAAAGAUUUUUAACAGAUUUGAGCACACAUCAGGUAAUUAAAAGAUGGCUACACAUUUCAUCUGCUAACUCAUGGCCAGGCAUUCUGAACAGAUUAGUCAAUCAGCUUAAAUCCUCAUACCGUGUUGAUGCACAGGUUUUGAGACUAACACACACUCUGGUGGUUCACAAAUAGGAGCGGUACCAGAAACUUCUUUGAUGAUUGAGCCAGAAGGAGCUCUGCUAUACCUCCUUUAGCUGUUCGAAAUCAUGGUUGUAUCUGGUGAUAGCAAGACACUUUUUUGCAGACACCCCAGAUAUUAGCAUAUUAAUAGCUGUAACUAAACUGAGAGUUAAACAGACACAAAUUGGGGUUCUGUCUUGCGAAUUAUCCAUGCAUAAAACUCCCAAUGACUUCAGUGGCAAUAGCGGCACAUUCAGAAUUGGGCCUAUGAUGCUGACUAGAGCUGUGCCAACCCUGUAUAAUAAAACCCAGAACUAGGUGGCUUGAAACCCA